AUUGAACGCUGGCGGCAGGCUUAACACAUGCAAGUCGAGCGGGGUGAUGGUGCUUGCACUAUCACUUAGCGGCGGACGGGUGAGUAAUGCUUAGGAAUCUGCCUAUUAGUGGGGGACAACAUCUCGAAAGGGAUGCUAAUACCGCAUACGUCCUACGGGAGAAAGCAGGGGAUCUUCGGACCUUGCGCUAAUAGAUGAGCCUAGGUCGGAUUAGCUAGUUGGUGGGGUAAAGGCCUACCAAGGCGACGAUCUGUAGCGGGUCUGAGAGGAUGAUCCGCCACACUGGGACUGAGACACGGCCCAGACUCCUACGGGAGGCAGCAGUGGGGAAUAUUGGACAAUGGGGGGAACCCUGAUCCAGCCAUGCCGCGUGUGUGAAGAAGGCCUUAUGGUUGUAAAGCACUUUAAGCGAGGAGGAGGCUCUUUUGGUUAAUACCCAAGAUGAGUGGACGUUACUCGCAGAAUAAGCACCGGCUAACUCUGUGCCAGCAGCCGCCGUAA
This 501-nucleotide ribosomal RNA is filed under the name uncultured bacterium. Its description in RNAcentral is "partial 16S ribosomal RNA". It matches the Rfam family "Bacterial small subunit ribosomal RNA", at positions 30 to 523 of the family's 1533-position model. The record is from RNAcentral.